AACGAACGCUGGCGGCAGGCCUAACACAUGCAAGUCGAGCGCACCUUCGGGUGAGCGGCGGACGGGUUAGUAACGCGUGGGAACGUACCCUUUUCUACGGAAUAGCCUUUGGAAACGAAGAGUAAUACCGUAUACGCCCUUUGGGGGAAAGAUUUAUCGGAGAAGGAUCGGCCCGCGUUAGAUUAGAUAGUUGGUGGGGUAACGGCCUACCAAGUCUACGAUCUAUAGCUGGUUUUAGAGGAUGAUCAGCAACACUGGGACUGAGACACGGCCCAGACUCCUACGGGAGGCAGCAGUGGGGAAUCUUAGACAAUGGGCGCAAGCCUGAUCUAGCCAUGCCGCGUGAGUGAUGAAGGCCUUAGGGUCGUAAAGCUCUUUCGCCUGUGAUGAUAAUGACAGUAGCAGGUAAAGAAACCCCGGCUAACUCCGUGCCAGCAGCCGCGGUAAUACGGAGGGGGUUAGCGUUGUUCGGAAUUACUGGGCGUAAAGCGCACGUAGGCGGAUUGGAAAGUUGGUGGUGAAAUCCCGGGGCUCAACCCCGGAACUGCCUCCAAAACUAUCAGUCUAGAGUUCGAGAGAGGUGAGUGGAAUUCCAAGUGUAGAGGUGAAAUUCGUAGAUAUUUGGAGGAACACCAGUGGCGAAGGCGGCUCACUGGCUCGAUACU
RNAcentral lists this ribosomal RNA (665 nucleotides) under bacterium IMCC8892. RNAcentral describes it as "bacterial SSU rRNA". It matches the Rfam family "Bacterial small subunit ribosomal RNA", at positions 28 to 741 of the family's 1533-position model. The record is from RNAcentral.